UUUCCCCAGGGAUCAGUCAUUAUAAUCUUAGCCCUGCUGAGGUUGACUCUAUUGCUGAAGGUGCAGCAACCUCACUGAGAAUCACGCUUGAUUCUGUUGCCCCCUUGAAAAAGAAAAUAGUAAAUCAGAGGAGGUGUGCCCCCUGGUAUAAUUCACAUAUCAGGACCCUCAAGCAGAAAGUGCGAAGACUGGAAAGGAAGUGGCAUUCUUGUAAAAUAGACAAGGCCCUUCGCAAGGCUAGAACAGCUUAUUUUUCUUCUUUGAUUGAGGAAAAUAAGAACAACCCCAGGUUUCUUUUCAGCACUGUGGCCAAAUUAACCAAGAGUCACAGUGUUUUAGAUCCACGUAUCCCUUCUUCCCUGAGUGGUGAAGACUUCAUGAGCUUCUUCACUGAUAAAGUUCUAGCUAUCAGAGAGAAAGCUAACCAGGCCAUCCCAACAACUGGACCAUCACCAGAUGUGCCGACUGUGGGAACAUACAGGGUCUCUAACGAGCCCUUAAGCUCCUUCAGCCCUAUAUAUUUUUCUGAGGCGUCAUCGCUAAUUCAGAAAUCCAAGACCACCACGUGUCUUUUAGAUCCCAUCCCAACACACCUGUUGAAGGAUGUUUUACCAUUGAUAGGCAGUUCUAUCCUGGACCAGAUCAAUAGUUCUUUAGUGUUAUGUACCCCGGUCCUACAAGGUGGCAGUGAUUAAGCCGUUGCUUAAAAAACCAUCACUGGAUCCUGAUGUCUUAGCAAAUUAUAGGCCAAUAUCCAACCUUCCUUUUAUCUCUAAAGUUCUAGAGAAGGUGGUGGUGACUCAGUUACUGGAGCACCUGCAGAGGAACAGCCUGUUUGAGAUGUUUCAGUCAGGCUUUAGAGCUCACCACAGCACAGAAACAGCACUUCUUAAGGUCACUAAUGAUCUUCUCAUAGCUUCCGAUCAUGGACUGGUCUCUAUGCUGGUUCUGCUGGACCUCAGUGCUGCUUUUGAUACAGUUGAUCACAGCAUCCUGUUACAG
Molecule: long non-coding RNA, 1002 nt
Filed under: Takifugu rubripes (torafugu)
Lineage: Eukaryota; Metazoa; Chordata; Actinopteri; Tetraodontiformes; Tetraodontidae
Description: lncRNA (ENSTRUG00000027313.1)
Source: RNAcentral